RNAcentral lists this long non-coding RNA (698 nucleotides) under Vigna radiata. RNAcentral describes it as "long non-coding RNA (VRAD_LNC017504)". Lineage: Eukaryota; Viridiplantae; Streptophyta; Magnoliopsida; Fabales; Fabaceae. The record is from RNAcentral.
UUUUAUUUAUUUUUAUUUAUUUCCACUACAAUGUGUAUUUCUUGCUUUAGUUUAAGUGUUGCAUUUGAAUAGCAUGCCAAGUGUUUCUUUAUUAUCUACUGCAUUUUAAUUAUUUCACAAAUCUUGUUUUAGGAUUGUUCAGUUUAAUGUUUUCAUUCACUUUAAUGCUUUCAAUUAUAUUCGGUUGUAUUUAAUUUUCAUUUUUAAUUUCACCAUUUGCAUUCACAAACUUUUCACAAACCCCCCCACUUCGUGUUUGACCUGAUUCUCGAACCACAGUUUGUUCCUUGAGAGACGACCUAGGAGUCAUUCCCUAGCUAUACUGCAUUUCUCAUAUGCAAUCAAAUUUGUAUGGGCCGCGACACCCAUCAAAUUUUGGCGCCGUUGCUGGGGACCAACGGUUCGGUUUUAGGUCUUUUGUUGUGUUAGUGUGUGUUGUGUUUUGUCUUGUGUUGUGAGUGUGUCGCUCUGUUUGUAUGUGUUUGUCAUUGUGUGUUGCAUUUAGAUAAAUUUAGUUGCAUAUUUUCAUUGCAUUCUUCUUAUCCCCCUUCUUUCUCUCUACAUGUCCACCUAUCUUGAUUUUGUGAAUACUGCUUCUUCUGCCUAUGUCCAUGACUAUGAUUCUCUUUCUGCAAUUAACUUUGAUAUUGCUUCUCAUGCAUAUUCUGCUGAUUUCUAUGUUGAGAGCAGUAUGAUUC